GCCAGUGUGAUAUAGUGGUUUGACUGUUGGACUACGACUCUGGAGACAGGGUUCAAUUCCCUGCUCAGUGA
This 71-nucleotide transfer RNA is filed under the name Phrynosoma platyrhinos (Desert horned lizard). RNAcentral's name for it is "tRNA-OTHER". Lineage: Eukaryota; Metazoa; Chordata; Lepidosauria; Squamata; Phrynosomatidae. The record is from RNAcentral.